UUUUAAGAAUUAAAUCUAAUAAUUUUUUUUAUUAUAUUUAAAAAAAAUUUUUUUAAAAUUAUUUAGUUAAAAAAAUUAUUAUUUAAAUAAAUUAAUUUUUUGAUUAAAAAAUUAAAAAUAAAAAUUUAUUUUUUGUUCCUUUUGUAUCAGGAUUAAUUAAAUUAAAAAAUUAAUUUUUAAAUCUCGAAAUAAAAAAAUUUAAUUAAUUAUAAAAAUUAAUGUAAAAUUAUUAUUAAAAAUAAUUAAUUAGAAAUUAAAAGUUAAACCAUUUUUUUAUAUCUAGUUAUUUAAUAAAAAAAUUUAAUUUUUUUAUAAAUAUUAUUUUUUUUUAAUUUUUUUUUUAAUAAAAAUAAAUUUAUAAAAAAAAUUUUAGGGUUAAACUUAAAAUUUAAUUUAAAAUUGUUUUUUAAAUAUAUAAUAAAUAUUAUAAAAAUUAAAUUUUUUUUUAAUUAAAAAAAUUUUAUAAUUUAAAAAUAUAUUUAUAAAUUAAAUUUAAAUUUAAUUAUUUAUUAAAUUAAUUAAAUUAAUUAUUUUUUUAAAAAAAUAAUGAUUAAAUUAGUAAAUUUAAAAAAUUAUUAAAAAAUAUUUUAAAUUAGAAUUAAAUUUAAAAAAAUUAAUUAAGCAAAAUAAUUAUUCACCUGUUUAACAAAAACAUGUCUUAUAGAAUUUAAUUUUAAGUCAAAUCUGCCCACUGUAAUUUUAUAAAUGGCUGCAGUAUUCAUAACUGUACAAAGGUAGCAUAAUAAUUUGUUUUUUAAUUAAAAACUAGAAUGAAAGAUUUAAUGAAAUAAUAACUUUAUUUAUUUAAAAAAUUUAAUUUAUUAUUUUAGUAAAAAAACUAAAAUUUUUGAAAAAGACAAUAAGACCCUAUAGAAUUUUAUUUUUAAAAUUUAUUAUUUAAAAUUUUUUAAAUAUAUAAAUAUGUAAAAAUUUUAUUGGGGUAAUUAAAAAAUUUAUAGAAUUUUUUUAAUUUAUGACAUUAAUAAAUGAAUUAAUAUUUAAUUUUAAAUUUAUUUAAAUUAUUAAAAUUAAUUACCUUAGGGAUAACAGCAUAAUUUUUUUUAAAAGUUCUUAUUAAUAAAAAAGAUUAUGACCUCGAUGUUGAAUUAAGAUAAAAUUUUAUUGAAAAUUAUAAAAAUUUUGAGUCUGUUCGACUUUUAAAAUCUUACAUGAUUUGAGUUAAGAUCGGUGUAAGCCAGAUCAGAUUCUAUCUUUUUAUAGUAAAAUUUAUUUGUACGAAAGGAAUUUAAAUUUAAAAUAAUUUUUUUAUUAAUUUUAAUAAUUAUUUAUAAU
RNAcentral lists this ribosomal RNA (1293 nucleotides) under Pseudognaptodon sp. QL-2014. Its description in RNAcentral is "16S ribosomal RNA". Lineage: Eukaryota; Metazoa; Arthropoda; Insecta; Hymenoptera; Braconidae. The record is from RNAcentral.